UACGUAGGGUGCGAGCGUUAUCCGGAUUUACUGGGCGUAAAGCGUCCGUCGGCGGUUUUUCAAGUCUCUUGUUUAAGACUACGGCUUAACUGUGGAAAAGCAAGAGAAACUGGAUUACUUGAGUCUGUUAGAGGAAGUUGGAAUUCUCGGUGGAGGGGUGAAAUCCGUAGAUAUCGAGAGGAACGCCAAUUGCGAAGGCAAGCUUCUAUGACAGCACUGACGCUCAGGGACGAAAGCUAGGGUAGCAAAAGGG
Molecule: unclassified non-coding RNA, 253 nt
Filed under: uncultured Patescibacteria group bacterium
Lineage: Bacteria
Description: contains 16S-23S intergenic spacer region
Rfam family: Bacterial small subunit ribosomal RNA
Source: RNAcentral